GGGUUGUGAGGUUAAGCGACUAAGCGUACACGGUGGAUGCCCUGGCAGUCAGAGGCGAUGAAGGACGUGCUAAUCUGCGAAAAGCGUCGGUAAGGUGAUAUGAACCGUUACAGCCGGCGAUGUCCGAAUGGGGAAACCCAGUGCAAUUCGUUGCACUAUCGUUAACUGAAUACAUAGGUUAACGAGGCGAACCGGGGGAACUGAAACAUCUAAGUACCCCGAGGAAAAGAAAUCAACCGAGAUUCCCCCAGUAGCGGCGAGCGAACGGGGAGCAGCCCAGAGUCUGAAUCAGCUUGUGUGUUAGUGGAACGGUCUGGAAAGUCCGACGGUACAGGGUGAUAGUCCCGUACACCAAAAUGCACAGGUUGUGAACUCGAAGAGUAGGGCGGGACACGUGGUAUCCUGUCUGAAUAUGGGGGGACCAUCCUCCAAGGCUAAAUACUCCUGACUGACCGAUAGUGAACCAGUACCGUGAGGGAAAGGCGAAAAGAACCCCGGCGAGGGGAGUGAAAAAGAACCUGAAACCGUGUACGUACAAGCAGUGGGAGCACCUUCGGGUGUGACUGCGUACCUUUUGUAUAAUGGGUCAGCGACUUAUAUUCUGUAGCAAGGUUAACCGUAUAGGGGAGCCGCAGGGAAACCGAGUCUUAACUGGGCGUUAAGUUGCAGGGUAUAGACCCGAAACCCGGUGAUCUAGCCAUGGGCAGGUUGAAGGUUGGGUAACACUAACUGGAGGACCGAACCGACUAAUGUUGAAAAAUUAGCGGAUGACUUGUGGCUGGGGGUGAAAGGCCAAUCAAACCGGGAGAUAGCUGGUUCUCCCCGAAAGCUAUUUAGGUAGCGCCUCGUGAACUCAUCUUCGGGGGUAGAGCACUGUUUCGGCUAGGGGGUCAUCCCGACUUACCAACCCGAUGCAAACUACGAAUACCGAAGAAUGUUAUCACGGGAGACACACGGCGGGUGCUAACGUCCGUCGUGAAGAGGGAAACAACCCAGACCGCCAGCUAAGGUCCCAAAGUCAUGGUUAAGUGGGAAACGAUGUGGGAAGGCACAGACAGCCAGGAUGUUGGCUUAGAAGCAGCCAUCAUUUAAAGAAAGCGUAAUAGCUCACUGGUCGAGUCGGCCUGCGCGGAAGAUGUAACGGGGCUAAACCAUGCACCGAAGCUGCGGCAGCGACACUAUGUGUUGUUGGGUAGGGGAGCGUUCUGUAAGCCUGCGAAGGUGUGCUGUGAGGCAUGCUGGAGGUAUCAGAAGUGCGAAUGCUGACAUAAGUAACGAUAAAGCGGGUGAAAAGCCCGCUCGCCGGAAGACCAAGGGUUCCUGUCCAACGUUAAUCGGGGCAGGGUGAGUCGACCCCUAAGGCGAGGCCGAAAGGCGUAGUCGAUGGGAAACAGGUUAAUAUUCCUGUACUUGGUGUUACUGCGAAGGGGGGACGGAGAAGGCUAUGUUAGCCGGGCGACGGUUGUCCCGGUUUAAGCAUGUAGGCUGGUUAUCCAGGCAAAUCCGGAUAAUCAAGGCUGAGGUGUGAUGACGAGGCACUACGGUGCUGAAGUAACAAAUGCCCUGCUUCCAGGAAAAGCCUCUAAGCAUCAGGUAACAUCAAAUCGUACCCCAAACCGACACAGGUGGUCAGGUAGAGAAUACCAAGGCGCUUGAGAGAACUCGGGUGAAGGAACUAGGCAAAAUGGUGCCGUAACUUCGGGAGAAGGCACGCUGGUGUGUAGGUGAAGUCCCUGCGGAUGGAGCUGAGACCAGUCGAAGAUACCAGCUGGCUGCAACUGUUUAUUAAAAACACAGCACUGUGCAAACACGAAAGUGGACGUAUACGGUGUGACGCCUGCCCGGUGCCGGAAGGUUAAUUGAUGGGGUUAUCCGUAAGGAGAAGCUCUUGAUCGAAGCCCCGGUAAACGGCGGCCGUAACUAUAACGGUCCUAAGGUAGCGAAAUUCCUUGUCGGGUAAGUUCCGACCUGCACGAAUGGCGUAAUGAUGGCCAGGCUGUCUCCACCCGAGACUCAGUGAAAUUGAACUCGCUGUGAAGAUGCAGUGUACCCGCGGCAAGACGGAAAGACCCCGUGAACCUUUACUAUAGCUUGACACUGAACAUUGAGCCUUGAUGUGUAGGAUAGGUGGGAGGCUUUGAAGCGUGGACGCCAGUCUGCGUGGAGCCAACCUUGAAAUACCACCCUUUAAUGUUUGAUGUUCUAACGUUGGCCCCUGACCGGGGUUGCGGACAGUGUCUGGUGGGUAGUUUGACUGGGGCGGUCUCCUCCCAAAGCGUAACGGAGGAGCACGAAGGUUAGCUAAUCCUGGUCGGACAUCAGGAGGUUAGUGCAAUGGCAUAAGCUAGCUUGACUGCGAGCGUGACGGCGCGAGCAGGUGCGAAAGCAGGUCAUAGUGAUCCGGUGGUUCUGAAUGGAAGGGCCAUCGCUCAACGGAUAAAAGGUACUCCGGGGAUAACAGGCUGAUACCGCCCAAGAGUUCAUAUCGACGGCGGUGUUUGGCACCUCGAUGUCGGCUCAUCACAUCCUGGGGCUGAAGUAGGUCCCAAGGGUAUGGCUGUUCGCCAUUUAAAGUGGUACGCGAGCUGGGUUUAGAACGUCGUGAGACAGUUCGGUCCCUAUCUGCCGUGGGCGCUGGAGAAUUGAGGGGGGCUGCUCCUAGUACGAGAGGACCGGAGUGGACGCAUCACUGGUGUUCGGGUUGUCAUGCCAAUGGCACUGCCCGGUAGCUAAAUGCGGAAGAGAUAAGUGCUGAAAGCAUCUAAGCACGAAACUUGCCCCGAGAUGAGUUCUCCCUGAGACUUUAAGUCUCCUGAAGGAACGUUAAAGACGAUGACGUUGAUAGGCCGGGUGUGUAAGCGCAGCGAUGCGUUGAGCUAACCGGUACUAAUGAACCGUGAGGCUUAACCUUACAACGCCGAAG
Molecule: ribosomal RNA, 2923 nt
Filed under: Klebsiella pneumoniae
Lineage: Bacteria; Pseudomonadati; Pseudomonadota; Gammaproteobacteria; Enterobacterales; Enterobacteriaceae
Also listed under: 1 other name
Description: bacterial LSU rRNA
Rfam family: Bacterial large subunit ribosomal RNA
Source: RNAcentral